CCUACGGGAGGCAGCAGUGGGGAAUAUUGCACAAUGGGCGAAAGCCUGAUGCAGCGACGCCGCGUGAGGGAUGUCGGCCUUCGGGUUGUAAACCUCUUUCAGCAGGGAAGAAGCGAAAGUGACGGUACCUGCAGAAGAAGCACCGGCUAACUACGUGCCAGCAGCCGCGGUAAU
This 174-nucleotide ribosomal RNA is filed under the name uncultured Streptomyces sp. Its description in RNAcentral is "partial 16S ribosomal RNA". It matches the Rfam family "Bacterial small subunit ribosomal RNA", at positions 338 to 524 of the family's 1533-position model. The record is from RNAcentral. Lineage: Bacteria; Bacillati; Actinomycetota; Actinomycetes; Kitasatosporales; Streptomycetaceae.